UACGUAUGGAGCAAGCGUUAUCCGGAUUUACUGGGUGUAAAGGGAGCGCAGGCGGCUUUGCAAGUCUGAUGUGAAAGCCCGCGGCCCAACCGCGGGACUGCAUUGGGAACUACCGGGCUGGAGUGCCGGAGAGGUAGGCGGAAUUCCUAGUGUAGCGGUGAAAUGCGUAGAUAUUAGGAGGAACACCAGUGGCGAAGGCGGCCUGCUGGACGGUAACUGACGCUGAGGCUCGAAAGCGUGGGGAGCAAACAGG
This 253-nucleotide ribosomal RNA is filed under the name uncultured bacterium. Its description in RNAcentral is "partial 16S ribosomal RNA". It matches the Rfam family "Bacterial small subunit ribosomal RNA", at positions 524 to 776 of the family's 1533-position model. The record is from RNAcentral.